GCAACAGACUCCAAUCACGUGGAGAAGCUCUUUGACGCGGCUGCUUUGUGAGGCUAACAAUUACAAAAGUAAAUCGACUCACGGAAAUAUUAGUUACCGAUUUUAUUUGAAAAUUAAAAAUGUAAAAGGAAAAGAGUACAGGGAUAUCUUCUACGGCGUGGCAAUUUACAAAAAUCAGAAAGGGAAAAAUAAUAAAAUAAAAAUAAAAAAUGUAGAAACAACAUCAAAGCGUGGGAAACAAAAAAAAAACGUUGAGAAGAUGGAGGAAAAAAUGGGGGUGAGAGAAUAAUGAUACUUGAAGGUAUAACUAAAAAACAGAGUUCUGAAUGUUACGGCAAUAAGUAGAAAUAAUAGUAGAAAAGGACAAAGGUCAAAGAAUCAGG
RNAcentral lists this small RNA (383 nucleotides) under Histoplasma capsulatum var. duboisii H88. RNAcentral describes it as "Histoplasma capsulatum H88 hypothetical RNA". Lineage: Eukaryota; Fungi; Ascomycota; Eurotiomycetes; Onygenales; Ajellomycetaceae. The record is from RNAcentral.